RNAcentral lists this ribosomal RNA (224 nucleotides) under uncultured bacterium. RNAcentral describes it as "partial 16S ribosomal RNA". It matches the Rfam family "Bacterial small subunit ribosomal RNA", at positions 1276 to 1500 of the family's 1533-position model. The record is from RNAcentral.
CUAAAGUACUCAGUUCGGAUUGAAGGCUGAAAUUACGCCUUCCAUGAAGCUGGAAUUGCUAGUAAUGGCAGGUCAGCAUACUGCCGUGAAUACGUUCCCGGGCCUUGUACACACCGCCCGUCACACCAUGAGAGUUGGGAAUACCCGAAGCCUGUGAGCCAACUAUAUAGAGGCAGCAGUCGAAGGUAGAAUCAAUGAUUGGGGUGAAGUCGUAACAAGGUACC